Molecule: non-coding RNA, 351 nt
Filed under: uncultured Superficieibacter sp.
Lineage: Bacteria; Pseudomonadati; Pseudomonadota; Gammaproteobacteria; Enterobacterales; Enterobacteriaceae
Source: RNAcentral
AAACGAAGCGAACAUCAGGAUGAUGACGCUUCACAGGGACACACCAGGACGGUGCUUCAGGGAAGGCUUCAGGAUGAAGUUAAGGGAUAUGCAGGACGCAUAGUAAGGACACCUCCAGGAAGGAGAAAGUGAGCCGGACAGGAUGCCCGGUGGGUCAGGAUGGCCAGGGACUCACUUAAGGAAAAGUGCUAUCGCAUCGGGGUGGUGUGAGCAGGACGCAGUGUUUACGGAUGAACAGGUCAGGAGACCAACAGGAAAAGUUGUCAUGGAUGAGCAGGGAGCAUCAUAAAAAGUAGCGGGAUGGCUGCGAAACGAACCGGGGGCACUGUUUAACAGUGCCCCCUUUUUUUG